AGUAGUUUGAUCCUGGCUCAGGACGAACGCUGGCGGCGUGCUUAACGCAUGCAAGUCGACGGAAAGGCCAGUGCUUGCACUGGUACUCGAGUGGCGAACGGGUGAGUAACACGUGGGUGAUCUGCCUUGCACUCUGGGAUAAGCUUGGGAAACUGGGUCUAAUACCGGAUAGGAACCGUCUUUAGUGUGGUGGUUGGAAAGUUUUUUCGGUGCAAGAUGAGCUCGCGGCCUAUCAGCUUGUUGUGGGGUAAUGGCCUACCAAGGCGUCGACGGGUAGCCGGCCUGAGAGGGUGUACGGCCACAUUGGGACUGAGAUACGGCCCAGACUCCUACGGGAGGCAGCAGUGGGGAAUAUUGCACAAUGGGCGGAAGCCUGAUGCAGCGACGCCGCGUGGGGGAUGACGGCCUUCGGGUUGUAAACUCCUUUCGACAGGGACGAAGCGCAAGUGACGGUACCUGUAUAAGAAGCACCGGCUAACUACGUG
RNAcentral lists this ribosomal RNA (485 nucleotides) under uncultured Corynebacterium sp. Its description in RNAcentral is "bacterial SSU rRNA". It matches the Rfam family "Bacterial small subunit ribosomal RNA", at positions 1 to 507 of the family's 1533-position model. The record is from RNAcentral. Lineage: Bacteria; Bacillati; Actinomycetota; Actinomycetes; Mycobacteriales; Corynebacteriaceae.